This 484-nucleotide ribosomal RNA is filed under the name uncultured bacterium. RNAcentral's name for it is "partial 16S ribosomal RNA". It matches the Rfam family "Bacterial small subunit ribosomal RNA", at positions 30 to 507 of the family's 1533-position model. The record is from RNAcentral.
AUUGAACGCUGGCGGCAUGCCUUACACAUGCCAGUCGAACGGCAGCGCGGACUUCGGUCUGGCGGCGAGUGGCGAACGGGUGAGUAAUACAUCGGAACGUACCCUGUUGUGGGGGAUAACUAGUCGAAAGAUUAGCUAAUACCGCAUACGACCUGAGGGUGAAAGUGGGGGAUCGCAAGGCCUCACGCAGCAGGAGCGGCCGAUGUCUGAUUAGCUAGUUGGUGGGGUAAAGGCCCACCAAGGCGACGAUCAGUAGCUGGUCUGAGAGGACGAUCAGCCACACUGGGACUGAGACACGGCCCAGACUCCUACGGGAGGCAGCAGUGGGGAAUUUUGGACAAUGGGGGCAACCCUGAUCCAGCAAUGCCGCGUGUGUGAAGAAGGCCUUCGGGUUGUAAAGCACUUUUGUCCGGAAAGAAAUCGCGCUGGUUAAUACCUGGCGUGGAUGACGGUACCGGAAGAAUAAGCACCGGCUAACUACGUG